GACUGAGAAGAGCUAAACCCCAGUAGAGCCAAGUUGGGAGGUGGUGAAAAAAAUCCAGGUGAAUAGGGCUAAGCCCCAUACCCAGGAAGAGAGCUGGCAUCAGAAACAGAAGACUGAGGUCAUUUUUAUGGAUGGGAGAUGUGCUGGUGGGUUUUUAUAAGAGCUCAUGUCAGUUGGCAUCCAUUUCUUCAGUAAGGUGAGAAUGUUAUGGCCACACCGUGCCCUUGUCAGAUGGGGGUAAGGCCUUCUGCAUCAUCUACUCCGUCAUCGGCAUUCCCUUCACCCUCCUGUUCCUGACAGCUGUGGUCCAGCGCAUCACCGUGCACGUCACCCGCAGGCCGGUCCUCUACUUCCACAUCCGCUGGGGCUUCUCCAAGCAGGUGGUGGCCAUCGUCCACGCCGUGCUCCUUGGGUUUGUCACUGUGUCCUGCUUCUUCUUCAUCCCAGCCGCUGUCUUCUCGGUCCUGGAGGAUGACUGGAACUUCCUGGAAUCCUUUUAUUUUUGUUUUAUUUCCCUGAGCACCAUUGGCCUGGGGGAUUAUGUGCCUGGAGAAGGCUACAAUCAAAAAUUCAGAGAGCUCUAUAAGAUUGGGAUCACGU
This 600-nucleotide small RNA is filed under the name Pongo abelii (Sumatran orangutan). Its description in RNAcentral is "processed transcript". The record is from RNAcentral. Lineage: Eukaryota; Metazoa; Chordata; Mammalia; Primates; Hominidae.